AGGGAAUCUUCCGCAAUGGACGAAAGUCUGACGGAGCAACGCCGCGUGAGUGAUGAAGGUUUUCGGAUCGUAAAGCUCUGUUGCCAGGGAAGAACGUCUUCUGGAGUAACUGCCAGGAGAGUGACGGUACCUGAGAAGAAAGCCCCGGCUAACUACGUGCCAGCAGCCGCGGUAAUACGGAGGGUGCAAGCGUUAAUCGGAAUUACUGGGCGUAAAGCGCGCGCAGGCGGCUGUUUAAGUCUGGUGUUUAAUCCUGGGGCUCAACCCCGGGUCGCACUGGAAACUGGACGGCUUGAGUGCAGAAGAGGAGAGUGGAAUUCCACGUGUAGCGGUGAAAUGCGUAGAGAUGUGGAGGAACACCAGUGGCGAAGGCGACUCUCUGGGCUGUAACUGACGCUGAGGCGCGAAAGCGUGGGGAGCAAAC
RNAcentral lists this ribosomal RNA (424 nucleotides) under uncultured bacterium. RNAcentral describes it as "bacterial SSU rRNA". It matches the Rfam family "Bacterial small subunit ribosomal RNA", at positions 356 to 773 of the family's 1533-position model. The record is from RNAcentral.